Molecule: RNA transcript, 21882 nt
Organism: Loxodonta africana (African savanna elephant)
Lineage: Eukaryota; Metazoa; Chordata; Mammalia; Proboscidea; Elephantidae
Gene: NOD1
Gene name: nucleotide binding oligomerization domain containing 1
Exons: 17
Source: RefSeq, a predicted model, not a curated record
CCCCUUGCGAAGCUGCUGGCGCGGCGCGUUCCGAGGCUUCGGCUCUCCCAGGCCUCUGCGCCCCAGGCUUGGCGCGCUCCCCGGCGUCCCUCGCUCUCCCAGCAACUGCGGGAUCUGCAAACCUGGCGGCCAAUCUUCAUCGUUCCAAACCAUUGGGAGAGGCCCACCCACUCCUAGAGCAGGCCCGGCUCCCAGAAGCCUCGCCCUGGCCCAACCUCGGUCCUCUGUUUGACUGGAAAGAAAGAUCAGACUCUGUUCACCAGCAGGUCCCACCCUAAUCAAGAUUCCAGAAAUUUGGAGAUCGAAGAUUUAAGGGAAAGUGUUGUUUUAAAGUAUCUGACAUACUUCAAAGAACAAUGCCAGAAACUUAAAAGGGCCUGCACAGGGGGGCAGGAGCCCUGGGUCUUGAUUGCCCUCUGCCAGGAAGACAGAUGCAGCUAAAGAUGAAUGUGGGAAAAGUAGCCACAUGCUGCUUUCACCAUGGAGAAGCAGGCCCCCAGUGAGAUGGGAAUAAUCCCGUCUGAGUCUCCCUCCUAUAUUAAAUUGCUGAUUGUCAACCGGGAGCUUCUGGUCACCCACAUCCGCAACACUCAGUGCCUGCUGGACAACCUGCUGAAGAAUGACUACUUCUCAGAGGAAGACUCAGAGAUUGUGUGUGCCUGCCCCACCCAGCCUGACAAGGUCCGCAAACUUCUGGACCUGGCACAGAGCAAGGGUGAGGAGGUGUGUGAGUUCCUCCUUUACGUGCUCCAGCAGCUUGCGGAUGCCUAUGUGGACCUCAGGCCUUGGCUGUUGGAGAUUGGCUUCUCUCCUUCCCAGCUCAUUCAGAGCAGAGUUGUGGUCAACACCGACCCAGUGAGCAGGUACACCCAGAAGCUACGGCAUCACCUGGGCCGAGACUCCAAGUUCAUCCUGUGCUAUGGCCAGAAGGAGGAGCUCCUGCUGGAGGAGGUGUACACAGACACUAUCAUGGAGCUGGUCAGCUUCACCAACGAGAGCCUGGGCCCUCUGGGCAGCCUGGCUGGCCUCCUGGACCACUCCACAGGCAUCCUCAAUGAGCAGGGUGAGACUGUGUUGGUGUCUGGCGACGCCGGGGUGGGCAAGUCCAUGCUGCUGCGGCGGCUGCAGGGCCUCUGGGCCUCAGGCCAGCUGGACACUGGCAUCAAGUUCUUCUUCCACUUCCGCUGCCGCAUGUUCAGCUGCUUCAAGGACAGCGACACGCUGUGUCUGCAGGACCUGCUUUUCAAGCACUACUGCUACCCGGAGCAGGACCCCGAGGAGGUGUUCGCCUUCCUGCUGCGCUUCCCCCACACAGCCCUCUUCACCUUUGACGGCCUGGAUGAGCUCCACUCAGACUUCGACCUGAGCAGUGUGCCUGACACCUCCUCCCCCUUGGCACCCGCCCACCCCCUUGUCCUGUUGGCCAAUUUGCUCAGCGGGAAACUGCUCAAGGGGGCCACCAAGCUGCUCACAGCCCGCACAGGCAUCGAGAUCCCACGCCAGCUCCUUAGGAAGAAGGUGUUUCUGCGGGGCUUCUCCCCCAGCCACCUGCAGGCCUACACCCGGCAGAUGUUCCCUGACCGGACGCUGCAGUCCCGCCUGCUGGACCAGCUGGAAGCCAACCCCAACCUCUGCAGCCUGUGUGCAGUGCCCCUCUUCUGCUGGAUCAUCUUCCGCUGCUUCCAGCACUUCCACGCCACCUUCGACACCACCCUGCAGCUGCCUGACUGCAAGGUGACACUGACUGAUGUCUUCCUGCUGGUCACUGAGGUCCACCUGAACAGGACACAACCCACGAGCCUGGUGCAGCGCAACACUCGGAGCCAGGCAGAGACCUUCCGCUCUGGCCAAGGGAUGCUGCACACGCUGGGCCAGGUGGCCCACCAGGGCAUGGAGAAGAACCUGUUUGUCUUCAGCCAGGAGCAGGUGCAGGCCUCCCAGAUGCAGGAGGGGGACCUGCAGCUGGGCUUCCUGCGGGCCGUGCCGGAGCUGGGCCCCGAAGGGGAGCAGCCAUCCUAUGAGUUUUUCCACAUCACCCUCCAGGCCUUCUUUACAGCCUUCUUCCUCGUGGUGGAUAACAAGGUGGGCACGCAGGAGCUGCUCAGGUUCUUCCAGGAGUGGGCACCUCCUGGGGAGGCGGCAGUAGCCUCCUGCUUUCCUCGCUCUCUCCCUUUCCAGUGUCUGGGGGGCAGUGGCCUGGUGGGGGAAGACCCAUUCAAGAACAGGGACCACUUUCAGUUCACCAACCUCUUCCUGUGUGGGCUGUUGUCCAAAGCCAAACAGAAACUCCUGCGGCACCUGGUGCCCGUGGCAGCCCUGAAGAGAAAGCGCAAGGCCCUGUGGGCACACCUGUUUGCCAGCCUCAGGUCCUACCUGAAGAGCCUGCCCCGAGUCCAGGUUGAGGGCGUCAGCCAGGUGCAUGGGAUGCCCACCUUCAUCUGGAUGCUGCGCUGUAUCUACGAGACGCAGAGUGAGAAGGUGGGGAAGCUGGCGGCCAGGGGCAUCUGUGCCAACUACCUCAAGCUGACCUUCUGCAACGCCUACUCAGCCGACUGCAGCGCCCUCUCCUUCGUCCUGCACCACUUCCGCAAGCGGCUGGCCCUCAGCCUGGACAACAACAAUCUCAAUGACUACGGCGUGCAGGAGCUGCAGCCCUGCUUCAGCCGCCUUACAAUCAUCAGACUCAGUGUGAACCAGAUCACUGACAGGGGGGUGAAGGUGCUAUAUGAAGAGCUGACCAAAUACAAAAUCGUGACAUUUUUGGGCUUGUACAACAACCAGAUCACGGAUGUGGGAGCCAAGUACGUUGCCAGAAUCCUGGAGGAAUGCAAAAGCCUCGCGUACCUUAAGCUAGGACUAAACAAAAUAACAAGUGAAGGAGGCAAGUGUCUCGCCCUGGCUGUGAAGAACAGCAAAUCAAUCUGUGACGUUGGGAUGUGGGGCAAUACAGUUGGUGAUGAAGGAGCAAAGGCCUUUGCAGAGGCUCUGAGGAACCACCCCAGCUUGACCUCCCUGAGUCUUGCAUUCAACGGCAUCUCCACAGAAGGAGGAAAGAGCCUUGCGCGAGCCCUGCAGCAGAACACGUCUCUGAGGAUACUCUGGUUGACCAAAAAUGAACUCAAUGAUGAAGUGGCAGAGAGCUUGGCAGAAAUGCUGAAAAUCAACCAGACUUUGCAACAUUUAUGGCUUAUCCAGAACCAGAUCACAGCCAAGGGGGUUGCCCACCUGGCAGAUGCAUUGCAGGAGAACACCGGCAUAACAGAGAUUUGCCUAAAUGGAAACUUGAUAAAGCCAGAAGAGGCCAAAGUCUUUGAAGAUGAGAAACGCAUUAUCUGUUUGUGAGAGGAUGUUUUCCUAGUUGCUGGGCUGUGUGUGUUGUGAAGACAAUGUCUGGAGUCAGCAGAAGAAAGAACAAGCAGAGGACUUCGGGGAGGGAAUGCUCCAGAAGCAGUGGAGAGUUUGGAGUCAGAUCCAGGUUCGAAUCGAGGCCUCACUACUUGCCAGCCCUAAGACUCUGGACAUAUUUGACUCAAACUCUCAGAGCUGGCCAUGGGACGAGUGCUUUACGUGUUGCUGCACUGAACUCUUCACAGCUAGCUAAUGGCAGGCCUGGCUCUGCCUGAACCUGUGGCUUAAGAAAGCACUUUACCUUCCUCUCUACGAUCCCGCCUCCCUGUACUGAUUAAGCCCUGCACGCUAGGUACUGUGCUGGAUGUUGGUAAGUUUCAGACCUUCCCCAGGAAUUCAGCUAGAGGGAGAGACAGAGAACUAAGUCAUUAACCAGGAAGGUAAGUGCCAGUAGAGACACGUGUUCCAUGUUCUGGACGCACGGAAGAGUCAGGUAACGCUGAUGCAGUGGCAGGGUCCAAUCUUCCAACACAUGGCAGAGUUCAAAACAGUUAAUGAGAAAAAAAUCAAGGAAAAAAUUUUUGAGCUAUUUUGAUAUUUGUUAUUUGCCAAAAGGCAACAAGUAGUCAUAGGGAAAAUCAGAUCUUGUUUAACAUCCUUGCACUUACUUUAUAAUUUACUAUUGUUUUUUAAAUUCAGAUAAUUGGGGGCCCAAAACCCUUUUAGGGUUUAGUGCAUCUAAAAGUCUUACUCUGGUCUUGGGUUCAGUUAGUUCCAUUUUAAGGCAGAGAGAACCAUGCUGUGAUGGCCCCUGGGCCCUGCAACUCUGCCAAAAGUCCAUGCUUCACCCUUAAACUGUUACACUCCUUAACUUUACUGGUUAAAAUAGAUGGUAAAGGGAGUAAAAUUUCGCAGCAAGAAUCUGCUUGGUGACAUGAGCUUUGGGUUCCUCAAGAGCCAAUUCCACUUUUAUUAAAAUUCUCCACGGACCUGUGAUGAUGAUCAUGGUUUUGCCUUUCAGCUCCAUAGUAAGGUUUUUUUCUGGAGGUGAACAAUUUGUUACUGGAAACAGACUUGUGCCAUACCUGAAAGUGGGCCAAAAUAUCGAUGAGCCAAAUGCUCUUUCCUGGUUCAGGAGCUGAGGGGAACCGGACAGCUGGCAGAGGCUUUUGGGCCUGGCUUUGUGUGGUGGUGCUGGCCUUGGCGCUGUUCUUUACUGUGCAAUGAAGAAAUGGGUUCAUUCCCCAGUAUGCAGCCAGCUGGCACUUAAAUGGAAGUGCCUCUUUGGUAACGAUGAAAAUUAACGGGCCAGGUUUUUCACUGACAAAGCUAGGAUAUUGCGGGAAGCUUGAUGUUGAAAUGUUUGAGCUUUAUUUCAAGAACUUCCAGCCACAUAUUUGACCCAGCUGGAAGUUCCCUAAGCUAUAGUUACUAGCCAGGGCCUAAUCUUUACACAUGUGUGUGUGUGGUCAGUGCCCGACACUGUCUAGGAUGAGGACCGGGACAGAGUUUUAUUCUAUUGAAAGGAGACGCUACUGACUUCACAUGUACAUUGUUCUCUCCCAGCUGCGGGAAGGAAUUUAUAAAUUCAUACGUUGGGAUCUGUUUUAAAGUGGCAAAGUGCCACUAACACUUGUGUGCAGGUGUCAGUAUUUUCAAAAUCAGUUUCCCUUGAUUAAAAAAAUUUAUGUAUGUGUGCGUGUAGGAGCCCUGGUGGCACAACAGAUAAACACUCCAAUGCUAACUGAAAGGCUGGGGGUUUGAACCCAUCUAGCAACUUUGCGGGAGAAAGACCUGGUGAUCUGCUCUCGUAAAGAUUACAGCCUAGGAGACCUUACAGGGCAGUUCUCUGUCACGUGGUCACUAUGAGUCAGAAUCGAUAGGACGGCAACCAACAACAUGUGUUCAUGCUUUGCCUAAACAAAUCCAGCCUAUCUGAUCGUAUGGAAACCACUUCCUCACAAUCACCUAUGAAGUAGGAAUUAUUUCAAGAAUGAGGAAACUGAGGACUAGUGAAUAUGAAUAUGUAUCUUAUUACAAUCAGUGUUUUAGGGAUUCAGUGCUGCUAUAAUGGAAAUGCCACAAAUGGAUGGCUUUAACAAAGAGAAAUUUAUUUUCUCACAGUUCGGAAGGCUAGAAGUCUGAAUUCAGGGUGGCAGCUCCAGGGGAAGGCUUCUCAGCACAGGGACCCCAGGUCCAAAGGACAUACUAUGCUCCUGGUGCUGCUUUCUUGGUGGUAUGAGGUCCCCAGGUCUCUCUGAUGGCUUCUCUCUUUUAUAUCUCAAAAGAGAUUGGCUGAAGACAGGACCUAAUCUUGUAGAUUGAGUCCUGCCUCAUUAACAUAACUGCUGCUAAUCCCACUCCAUUAACAUCUUAAGAGGUAGGAUUUACAACACACAUGAAAAUCACAUCAGAUGACAAAAUGGCGGACAAUCACACAAUACUAGGAAUCACGAUCUAGCCAAGUUGACACAUAUUUUGGGGGGACACAAUUCAAUCUGUCACAAACAGGAUGUGUAUAAAAAUGGGAAAAAAGAGCAAAAUCCUUCAGGAAAAGGAUCUUGGCAAAUGUAGAAUGAUGGCAUGUGGAAAGGACCUUAGAACUCAGCUCAAUCCCCUCAACUGACCAGUGAGGAAACUAGAGGCGGAAGGUCACAGGCUUUACUACUGAUAAAGCAAGAACUAGAACAUAGACCUUUGGCUGGUUUUAUUUUCCCACUGCUCUGACAGUAUUUGUGACCUCUAGUUGACUCUGCAAUUGACCUUCUUUGCACCACGCCAGUUAAACCUGGUUCUCAUCACCGAAAAAAAAAAAAAGGUUCUCAUCACCAAGGCAAGUUAAAUACAAUGAACUCUUCUUGUCCCAAGGAUCUCUUUAGUGUUCCUGGAAUUUCUUUGAGAAGCCUGAUCUCUCUGUACUAAAAGUUACAGAACUCUGGAGUCACGUUUAUAAGCCUCAAGUCAGGUGGCCAAGAAUACCCUGAAAGAUGGCUGGCAACAUCAGAGUCUGACUCUAGAGAGCCCAGGGUUUUGUCAGUGGCCAAACAUCCUACAUCCGCCAAUCAUGGCACUGGAUCAGAGGUAGGUGCAUUCCAGAGAGCGAUAGAAGGUCCUGUUUGAGUGAUUUUCAUCACAAGAGGGCAGCACGUGUCCAGUAGUUAAUCCAUUACAUAAGUGGACUGAGUGAUUGAACUGUGCAAGGGGGCCUGGUGACUGACACAUUGUUCUAUUCCAAUAAGACUCAAAUCAUAUUACAUUGUGUUAAGAACAAUUUUAUCUUAAACCAAUUCAUCUGUGAGUUCAAAGACACAGAGAAGUAUAGAAAGUUAGCCUGCAAGUACACUCUAAUAUGAGCAGUAUUACAGCAAGAUCCCUGGGCACUGAUGAUGUGGAUUCAGAUCCCAGCACUACCAGUAGCUGUGUGAUCUUGGACAAGUGACUUUGCCUCCUGUGCCAGAAUUUCCCAUCAGUAAAAUGGGGUCGAUGAGAAUGCUUCCUCGCAGGCUGUUUUGUUAUGAGGAAUAAAUGAGCUAAUAUAUGCAAAGCACUUAGAACAGUACCUGGCAUGUAGCAGGGUUCCAUAAGCAACUGUCUAUUACCUAACCAGACCUCUUUCUUCCAGCCCUGCCUUAGUGAGCAUCACGGAUAAGGCAGGAGAAAAGCGGAGGCCGUGCUGUGCCAGUCUUCCUACCUUCAAGAGCCUCUCCAAAACAUCAUUUUUAAAGUGAUAGCAAAGUCUAGACUUUUAAGCAGCCCAGAUACUACAAGCUGUUUCCGAGGCUGAAUACCUGCAGGAUAAGAACUAACCAUUCCCUAUAUACCUAUGGGGCAGCUCUACUCUGUCCUAUAGGGUCGCUAUAAGUCGGAAUCGACUCGACGGCACUGGGUUUUUUUUAUACCUGAAAUUGUCUUUUUUAAUUUUGUUAAGGGACUGCGUGUCCAGGUGACCCUGUCAUAUCCGGAAGCAUGGAUGGGGAAAUCCAAAAGCUUAUUUGCAUUUUGAUUUGAUUUCACAGAUGCUGGAGUAUAUUAUUCAGCUUUCCAUACUAAAACAACAUGGCUGAAGGUGGUUUCUUUUUUUGAAGUCAGCAUGUGGUUCUCUGUUUCUAGCAUUCUUUUCAUUCACUCAUUAACAUUGCUAGUGAUUCCCCUGGCUGUAAGAGAAAUGAAUGACGGUGUCUUGAGAGACAGCAGGAGAGAAGGCGAGAAGGGAGGGGGGAGGUAGGGAUAGAAUGGGAAUAAUAAGAAAGAGAAACAUGAGAACAACAAAAAAAAAAAAAAAAGGGAGGGUUGGAAGGGUGGAUUAACACCUGAAAUCCUGAUUUCUACCCUCCAUCAUACCCAGUAUUGCAGAUUCCAGAACACGGCCUAGUGUAGCUGGGGCCCUCAGCCCAGCACCCUGGGCAUGCUGAAGUUUUACGGAGCCAGUGGUGAGCCAGCAGCGUAUCACCUACUGAGUAGCUGUGGGCGACAGCCUGGCUGCCCAUUGCUGCUUUUGGAUUUUCAAUUGGAUUUUCACUAGGUGGUGUGAAGGAUUUUUUCUUUCUGCUGAAGACAGUGCACUUGGAUCCACCGGUGGUCAAUUGCACCCCAUUCACUUGAAUCCUCUGUUCUAGUGUUUCUCCAUGUUUUCACGAUUGUCCUCUAAGGAGACUUUUUAAACAUUUUUCUCAUGUCUCCUCCUCCCAAUGAAAUUUUAAUACCACAGGUAUACUGUGUUUCUGUUUCUAUAUGUACUGUGGCCCUUUGUAGGGCCACAAACAUUGUAAUAUCUAAGUUUUUUUGCCCCCAGGAACCAAUUUUCACCCCUUGGGGGUGAUAUCACGCCUGUUGAGAAUGUGUGAGCUGGUCAUAUCCUAGAUAAGUAUCAUCACCCUUGCCGUCUCCAAGAGCCCCUCCAUUACCCUGGAGGCUGCGUGACUUUCUACACAUUAUUCAGCUCCCAGUUCAAUAAAUCUUAAGAGUUAUAAGCUUAACAUUCUCAACUUAGGUUUCUUUCUUUUCACUCUUCUGUCCUGAAAACAGUUUUAAUCUACGUGCAAAAACUUUGCUUAUAUGUGAUCAGACACAUGCUGUUUUGUGCAAGGGAAAUAGUCCUUCGUAACACAGGCAGUUUGUGUCUGAGGCACUCUGGCCCAGCAGCUCUGUUGAUGAAUUGUGGUGACGUGACUCCACCUACUGCCACCAGGCCUCUGACAGAACUUGAGGCCCAGUUUGCCUCUGCUGUUGUUCCACUUCCCCUUCUCACUUCCUGUUUCCACCACCCUCACACCCACUCAAGGAGACCUAGGAAUGUCCAGAAUUCCCCUUUUGAAACAGAACCCAGGCCUCUGCCCAUCCCAGGCUGUGUACCUCCCACAUCAGCCCUCCCCAUUCCUCACUGCCGAAUUGAGCUAAAUAUCAGGACAUUACACGGACUGAAGUAAUUCAGAAUGAAACACAACUGUCUAAUAGCAUCACCCCUGCCAGAUAGGUAUUAUGUCAGACGAGCAGUCUUCAGAUCAAAAAGCUCUAACUAGACACAUAUAAGCAAAGAAGCUUCAGCCCAAAUUAAUCUUUGUGUCCCCUCAGUUGUAUCCCCCACAAUCCCAGAACAAUUCCAGAACGUGGUUGGCACUCCUGAAAGGGUUUGUUCCCUGCAGUGUCUUAAGUAGAGAUCAGCAAGUACAUCUAUCCAUCCAUUCAUUCAUUUUACAAAUAAAUAUUAAAUACCUACUUGUGCCAGGCACUAUGCUGACUGCUAGGAAUACAACGAUGUUUGGGAUUUGAUUUUACCCUACUUACAAGUUAAUAAGUUAGAUUGUUACUGUUUCAUGGACAUUGACACAACACAGGAGACUCCUGGGUCAGAGACAAAGGAAAUUAUAAUUCAGAGAACAGCAAAUGGCAUGCGCACCAGCAUGUUCGCACCAGCUCUCCAUGUCCCUAAGUUCCACAGAGACAGUUGUGAUGGGGCCCAGAAGGAUGUUACACACACAUCCAUGUGGUUAGGCAUCACAGCUGAAGAACGCUGAGCUUUCGGGAGCUUUCGGGAACUAUUUUAUAACAAGUAGUAAGAGAGCCUGCUCUUUGUCCUAGAUGGAGAAAUUACCUCAUGCCUCAAGGUUGUGUACUUCAAACACAGCCCUGAGGAAUGGCCUGGGUAAAGACUAGUGCUGUGUGAUUAAUUACUUUUGUGUGUGGUCUUGUAACUCCCACCCAGGUGAUUGUGUGAUAUGGUAAUUGUGGCCUACCAAGGGGAUUGGUCAGUUUCGCCUUAAAAGGGAGCCAAUUCCAGAGCAGAGAGGAGGAGUCUACCACCACCGAGGAAGGAGAUAUUCGGCAUCAGGUGAGUUUCCUGGCCCACAGACAGACAAAGCUGAGUGCCUUUGAGCAGAGACUGAGGGCCAGGGAGAGGUGUGCCUGACAGCACAGUUGGGAAGAGGCUGUCCUGAUGAAAGAACUGUACCCUGAGUGUUCCUGAGUCUGCCUUGUAACUGUUACUUCCCUAGUAAACCCCAUAAUCGUGAGAGUGGUCUGUGAGUUCUGUGUGGCCACUGCAAUGAAUAAUUGAACCCAGCAAAGAAGUAGAGAGUGUUGUGGGAGGGACGGUUGGUUGGUGUCAGAACUGGUAAAGAUGGUGGAGAGAGAACGCAUGUCUGACCUCCACCUCAUAGGAAUCAGCCUUGGGCUGUUGAUUUCGGUUCUCCUUCCCCCUUGUGAAGUUAGAGAAGGUCAGAUACUGCCCCAUGCUAUUUUUACAAGUGGUCAGCCCUUGCACUCUUGGCAUAGUAGUGGGAAUGCAUGGGAAUGCCUAGGGCCCAUGGCAGAUUGCCUCUCUCAAAAGUGGACCUCACAGCACUUACAGUCUAGUGGGGAAGAUGGAUAUUUAACCAAUAACCAGGUGGAUAAAUGUCAAAUUACAACCAUGAUGAGGGCCUUGAGGAGAGGUACAGGGGCUUUGUGGGCCUAUCCUAAGGAACACUUAUCUCCCUUGCAGCCUUGAUGGAUGUGAUCUGAAUGGGAGAAAGAGGAGGGGUCCAGACAGAUGAAACGGCAUGACCAAAGUCCCCAUGGCUGCAGGGAGCCUGGCCACUAUAACUGGAGCACAGAACAAAAGGAGGACUAUAUUAUGAGUGAGACUGGGAAGUAGAAGACAGGGACCCACUCCAGGAUUGGCCAGUGUUUCUUAAACUGUACGCUGGGCUUGUUAGCAGGUUGUGAAAGCAAUUUAGUGUACGCCCAAUUAAACUGGAGCUUAAAGGACAAACCUGGGGUGGUGAUAUAAAUUUGGGAUUCAACAGCAUACAGAUGGUAUUGAAGUUGUGAUCAUGGAUGAGCCAACCUAGGGAGAGAGCAUAGAGUGAGAAAACGGCCACAGACUAAGUCUUAAAGAACUGUGUCAUUUAAAGACAAGGCGAAGGAGGAUGAGCCCUCAAAGAAAACUAAGAAAGGCUGAAGAAAAAACAGGAGAGUAUGGUGUUGUGUGGGUCAGUGGAGAAUGAAACGGUCUCUUGAAUGUUUUUGAAAGGUCAGUCCUGAAGAAUUCCCAUGGAUUUAGUGACAUGGAGGUUACUGGUCCCUUAAAAGAGCUGUUUUAAAAUGACAACAAGGAAGCCAGGCUGGAGUGUGUUCAGCAGUAAUUGAGAGACGAGGUUAUCUUUCAAAAACUUUGAUGUGAAGAAGACAAAAUAGGACAGUAGUUCAAGGGGUAUGUGGAGUCUAGAGAGGGUUACUUUGUUUGACUUAAGAUGAGAGGGAGCUAAAUGUUGAUGGGAAAGAUAAGACCCAAGGGAGAGGUGAGUAUAGGAGAGGAUGUGAGGCUCCUGAGAAGGUAAGUUGGGAUGCGAAGCACAACACAGGUGAGGGAAUGGACCUCACGUAGGCAGAAGGGCUGCUCCUCCACUGUGUAACAGUCAGAAAGAAGCAUGAGAGAGCUGCAAACUAGACAGGUGUGUAAGGUUAGUAGUAGGACACUGAAACCACCAUCAAAUCCCAGGCAUAAUGUAAGACUUCACUGUUAAAUAAUAAUCUCUUCAGGACACAGAAAAGCAAAAAUAGGGCAGAACAUAUUUCUUCUAAAUUUGGAAAGUUUUUUAGGAGUAUUUUUGGCUAUUUCAAUUCCUUCCAUGUUUGAAGAGAAAAACAAAUAAAGGUAUUAAGUAACAAGCAUUGCAAUCUCCCCACAAUUUCCUCUCCCCAGGAGGAAGGCUCCAAGGUCCACCAUCAUUGAAUAGAAUGAAAGAAGCUGGGGAAAUCAAGAGAUGAUAAUAAUGACAGCAAACUCUACUACACAGGGCUCAGAAUAUACCAAGAUGCCUUCUAAUCAUUCCUAUAUACUCAUUUUUUUUUUCUUUCAUUUCUUAUAAUAACCCUAUGAAGUUGAGAAAACUGAACUACCAAGAGGUUAAAGGAACUUGUCCAAGGUCUCAGAAAAAGCGAGUGGCAGAACUGGGAUUAAAACACAGGCAGUCUUGCCUCUAAGUUUGUGUUUAACCACUUAUGCUAUGCUGCUGCUAUUAAUUAAGUACACAACAACAAAGCUAAUCCAUAGAUGAGGAGAGACAAGAGACCCUGCAUGGGAGACUGGGGAACAGCUUGGGGGACAAAGCGAGGGACAAAGGAAUAAAGAGAAAUACAGGAGAUAAAAUGUAUUUCCAUCCUUCCCCCAAAAUUCUAUUAUGAAAAAUUUCAAACCUAGAGUAACCUGAAAAACAGUGAACAUUCAUAUCCUCCAAGUGGUAUUAACCAGUAUAAAUAUUUUACCAUAUUUCUUUCUCACUAUAUGUGUUUGUGUAUGUACACACACACACACAUAUACACACACAUACAUUUUUAGACGUAUUUUUUUAUUUUAGUAUAGCAUUUGAAAGUAAGUUACACACAUUGUGAAAUUUUACCUCUCAAUAUUUUAGCAGGCAUCUUCUAAGAACAUAGACAAUCUCCUACAAAACCGCAAUUAUCACGGUAGUGAGAUUAACAAUACUUCUAUAUCAUCUAGGAUCUAGUACUUUUCAGAUUCUGGGGUAAGUGUAUUUUAAAGAGGUUUUGCUGGGUGUUACAAAUUUACUCUCCAUUUACUAUUUUCCCAGUAUAUUUAUUUAGGAUGUACUAGUAAAUAUUCCAUUCUCAUAUAUAGGUCUGAAAAGUAAUUAAAAAAUAAAAUCAAUAUGAUUUUUAUUAUAACCAACACUAAUAUUAGAACUUGAUUCAGGGGUUAUGAAACUGCUGCAUAACUGGGCUCUACUAACAAAUAUGCAACUAAGUAUGUAUGUGAAGGAUUUGCCUAAUUUGCGCUUUAGUACAGUAAUAUGUAUUGCAGAUUGUUAAUGUUUCCCGAUAACUCACAUUUCUCUCUACCCAUGUGAUUUGCAUUGGAUAAUGUUAACACUGGCAAACAGAUGCCAGCAGAAGCUUGAAAAGUACUUCUCCAUUACUCGGGCUUGUUCUCUCUUGCUGCUGGGAACCCCUCCACACCACCAUGUAAAUAAUUCCAGGCAAGUCUGCUGGAGACACAGCGCCUACUCAGCAGCUAGCACCAAUCACCAGAUAUGUGAUGAGGCAACGCUAGACCAACCAGCCCCCAGCUCACCCACCGGCUGACUAGCUGCAUGGUCUAUUUUAGCCUGGAAGUCCUACUGAAACCUGUUCUGCAUCAUAGCAACAUGCAAGCCUCCACUGACAGAUGGGUGGUAGCUGCACUUAAGGUGCAUUGGCCAGAAACCGAACCCAGGUAUCAAGCAUGGAAAGCAAGAAUUCUACUACUGAACCACCACUGCCCCUGGAUGGCCAAGACUUCGUCUCACAUCCUUUGGACAUGUUAUCUAUCAAGAGGAACCAGUUCCUGGAGAAGGACAUCACGCUAGGCAGACUAGAGGGUCAGCGAAAAAGAGGAAGAUCCUCAAUGAGAUGGAUUGACACAGUGGCUGCAACAGUGGGCUCAAGCAUAAUGAUUGGGAGGACGGGACAGGAUCGGGCAGUGGUUCGGUCUGUUGUACAGAGGUCCGCUAUGAGUCAGAGCUGACUCCAAGGCACCUAACAACAAUAUAUUAUUCUUCUAGAAUUCUCAGAAGUGUCAAGAUCCUGAAACAAGGAGGAGCUUCUGGUAGAUAAGAACCUCUGGUCAACAUGGGAUUUAGAGAAAACAUAUGAAGUGAGCGCUACUUGAGAAGUAAACAGAAUGUCCAGGGCCAUCACCAUGCUGGUGAAUAUUUUCUAGUGUUUCUAGGAAAGGUCACUGUUCUAGUUAUUGACUGGUGUGUAAUAAACUAUCCCAAACAUAGUGGCAUAAAAUAUCGAUAAUCAUGUACGGUCAUGUGCCACAUGCCCAUUUGGAUAAUAUCUGACUGCAUAUACGCCCCUGGUCCCAUAAGGUUGUAACAGAGUUUCGAAAUCCUGAUUGGAGAAUGGGAUGUAGUGGAUGUAGCGAAUGCAACAUCUUCCCACAUGUAACACAUUAAAAAACGUUUCCAGAUACACUAAAACAUCUUUAACAUAAUAACACAGUAGUAAUAAUGUUUCGACGCACACUGCCUGUUUGUUAUUAUGAACCAUUGUAGAUACCUCAAAUUUUAAUAAUAGGCUUUACGGGGGUUGGUUUGUAACUAUGGGUUGUCCGUAAGUCGGAUGUUGGUAACCCGGGCACUGCCUGUAUAUAAUAUGGUGUUCACACAAUAUCCAAAUCACAUAAUGUCCUAUUUCACAGAACGUAUCAUGGACGUUAAGUAAUGCAUAACUACCUUAUUCUCACAAGUAUGAGGGUUGACUGGACUCAGCUAGUGAGUUCUCAUUUGGGGUCUCUCAUGUGGUUGUAGUCAGAUGAGGGCUGGGGCUGAAGUCAACUAGAAGGCUUCCUCACUCACAUAUCUGGUGGUUGACAUGGUCUGGGCCUGCUCACAACAUGGAAGCUUGGUUCCAUGGAGAGCCAAACCAAGCUCUGGAGAUCACACAACAUCACUUCUACCAGAUUCUAUUAGUUAGGAAAGGUUAUAGUGCCAGCCCAUACUCAAGAGGAUGGAAUUUGGAAUUCCACCCCUUGAUGGGAGUAGUUAUCAAAAAAGUUGUGGACAUGAUUUAAAACAAGCACAGUUCAGCCUGGCUCCAGGACCGUGUCAUCCAAGUUGGUUCCAGACACAUCAGAGGCUCCUCAGGUAAAUUUCUUUGAGUACGGUUUCUUGCUAUCUUACGUAGUGUAAACUACAGGCAAGUUAUCUGCCUACCCUCCACACAGCCAAAGUACAAUGGUGUGACAGAGUAAGAAGACUACUAAAGAGACUUCUUUCAAAAGGGAGGAAAAUGGGAGGCACGCAUGAUCCAUAGCAAUUCUAAAAUUCAGUCGGGAUACUAAUCUCUGGGCAUGAGUCUCCAGUUUUCGGCUCUGUCCUUUCAGGUCUUGGUCCUGCCUUUUGAAUUAUCCUUCCUAUUCCACAAAAUGUAGCAGUGUCUUCAGUUGAUUCAUUUUGUUGGCUUCCUGCUCAUAGAAGUUUAGUGGCCCAAAAGCCUCUUUUCACUUUGCAUCAUUUCCACCCCUAUUAGUCCAAGCUGUGCCACGUCUGCCAAUAUAAUUCUCUUAAAAUUUGGGAUUUACUAUGAAUUAUAUUGGAGAUUUACUCCAUUAGACAAAGCCAAACCCAGAAAUCUCUUUGAGGCAAGCCUUUCCUACCUUGAACUCCCGGUAAUGUUGCUUUGGGACAAUGCCAUUAACCUCUUAGAAGCCAUUUUUUUUUUUUUUUUUUUAAACAGGAAGGACUUGUGAGGCACACUCUUAGAAGGCCGUUUGUCUUUUUCAAAAAGGGACUUUGAGGUACCACCUUGAAUCUUCCUGAAGUCUUCAAGUAACAUGUUUGGCUUCAUCUUUAGACAAUGUUUUUCUAACAAUCCCUGGAUUUGAUUUCUGUCCAGAAGCCAUUUCUUAAUUUUACCAUCAUUUGCUGUUUGGAGAGGCUGAGAAUGAGAAUGAUUAAAAAAAAAAAAAUCAGUCUUGGUUCCUUAAUUUAACAGUUUUUUAUCUUUCCAGAAGCCACAUGGCCCUUCAGUACUCUGCCUGGAUAUCUCAAUAGGUGGACACUGAAUUACUAGGUACAUUUCUUAUUUUUCAUGAUACUGCUGGUGACAGUGACAAAAACUCUUGUCAUUACAUACCAAGGGUCUCCUUUCCUCCAGCUUCUAAUAACAUUUUCCUAAUUUUCCUUUAAGCCCUCACUCACAGGCUUAUUGAGGCUAGUCUCCUCAAGGUUCUUCCACUUUCAACUGUUGCUCUAUCUCAAAGCCAAUGCCAGAUUUUAGGUUUCUGUUACGGGACAUCCUACUUCAGGUAGCAAAAUCUGUUCUGUGUAUCCAUUGCUAAAUAACAAACCACCCCAUGAUCUGUUACAGUACUGGAGUUUGGGCUCAGCUAGGAGACACUGAAGGAGUCCCUGGGUGCUACAAAGGCUAAGCACUUGAUGACAAGCUGCAAGUUGGUGGUUUGAACCCAUGAAAAGGCGCCUUGGAAGACAGGCCUGGUGACCUUCUGAAAGGUCACAUCCGUGAAAACCCUAUGGCGCAGUUCUACUCUGCACACGAGGUAGAUGGCAACUAACAACAGUGAUUUUCACUCAGGGUCUCUUAUGAAAUUGUGCUCAGAUGGUAGCUGGGGUUGCAGUCUUGAAAGCUUCCUACUGACAUGACUGGUGGUUGAUACUAUUGGCUGGGACUUCAGGGAGGGCCGUUGGCCCAAAUGCCUACAUGUGGUCCUCAAUGAGGCCUGGGCUUCCUUAUAGCAUGGCAGGUGUAUCCUAAGAGCAAACAUCCCAACAGACAGCCAGGCAGAAGCUAUAUUGCUCUUUCUAACCUAGACUCAGAAGUCACAAAGCAUUACUUCCACUGCAUUCUAUUAUUCAAGAGGAGGAGAAUAAGACUCCACUUUUGAUCUGAGGAAUGUCAAACAAUUUGUAGAUAUCUAUAAGAACCCCAGAGCCUUUCUUCAGAAUCAAAAGCCACUUGAGGAAUGUCAUGCUUACAACUGAGGAAAGCAGUCUGGGAUACUGAAGAAUUAGAGACGAAGAGUACACUCAGGUUGUUCUAGUGCUUGACUUAAUGUUCUAUUUCUGUGUGAUCCUGAGCAAACUACCUAAACUCUCAGAGCCUCAACUGCUCCAAGCGUGUCUAACAUCUUUUACAUCCACGUGAAACUACAUCAGCGACCACAAAAAAAGUUUAGGUAUGACUGAUAACACACAUUCCUUUUAAGAGCAGCACAUUAAUAGGAGUGGGGUGUGCUGGACUGAUUAUUAACAAAAAUGUGUUGUAAAUCCUAACCUCUAUGCCUGUGGUUAUAAUCCCAUUUCAAAACAGGUUGUCUGUGUUAGGUUAAUGACAGGAUUAGUGUAUGGUGUAUCUUGAGUUAAUCUCUUUUGAGAUACAGAGAUAAAAUAAGCAGGCAAGGAGAGAGAUGGUGUAAGAGAGAUGCCAAGACACAUGGAGAUAUCCAAGGACCCAGGAAGCAGAAGCUGAAGAGACAAAGACCUUUCUCCAGGGCUGACAGAGAAAGAACGCCUUCCCCUAGGGCCAACCAAACCAAAACCAAACUCGUUGCCCUGAAAUAGAUUCCAACUCAUAGCAACACUACAGAACACGGUAGAACUGUCCCAUACAGUUUCCAAAGAGCUGCUGAUGGAUUUGAACUGUUGACCUUUUGGUUAGCAGCCAUAGCUCUUAACCACUACACCCCCAGAGUCAGGCACCCUGAAUUCCUGUAGUCGCCUAAACUGUAAAAAAAUAAAUUUCUGUUUGUUAAAGCCACCCAUUUGUGAUAUUUCUGUUAUACCAGCACUAGAUAACUAGACAGUCACCUACCAGCAGCUUGGCCUUGGGAAAAAUACUUACCUUCCCCAAGUUUCCUCACCUAUGAAGACAUGGAUGACAAUCUUACAGGGCUGUUGUAAGGGUUGAGUGAAAUAAUGGUACUUACUUUGCGUGAUGGCUGGCACACAGUGAUAGUUCCAAAAUGAAAGUUAUUAUUAUUAACAUAAUCUCAUUAACACAAUGCCUUUAUUAAGGUACUAAUAGCAUAGUGCUCACAUGAAUAGCUUUGUUUAGCAGUCUUGUUUUUCUCACCAUUAAGUGAGGCCAAACUAUGACCGUGGUAUUAGAUAACUCCACAAGGUUUUAUUUUAUAUAUAUUCUUCUAUUCCCUUCCCUAUAACGUACGAUUUCAGACAUACUGCUGGAUCAUAAGAUGCUGAAAAAUUAUCACAAUGAUAUAUUUUGAAUUAUUCAGUCAUUAGUUUUAAUAUUUAUAAUAUAGAAUGGCUACUAGGCGCCAGAAUCUGUUCCAAAUUCUGAGAAUACAGCAGUGAGCAAGCCAGAAAAGAUCGCUGUUUUUAGGGAGCCCACAUUCCAGUGCAAGAAGAGUGAUGAUAAACAAGCAAACAAACAUGAUGAGAUCAGACAGUGAUAAGUGCUAUGAGGAAAAUUCAACAGGGAAUAGGAAUGAGGACUCCUGAGUUGUUGUCUUCUUCAGGCCGAGUGAUCAGAUACAGCCUAUGUUAUAAUCAGAGAAGGCCUUUCUGAGGAAGUGACAUUUACGCUGAGGUCUGAAUAUUAAGUGCCAGCCAUUUGAAGAUGUGGAAGAAGAACGUAAAUAUUGUAUAUAAAAAAUUAUUAUCUAUUAAUUCUUAUUCCAGCACUGACUCAGCAGCUCUUAAAAAACUUAGUUUGUUAUGGACUGAAUUAUGUCCCCCCAAAAUGUGCCAACUUCGCUAGGCCAUGAUUUCCAGUAUUGUGUGACUGUCCACCAUUUUGAUCACCUGAUGUGAUUUUCCUAAGUGUUCUAAAUCCUACCUUUAUGAUGUUAAUGAGGUGGGAUUAGUGGCAGUUAUGUUAAUGAGGCUGGACUCAAUCUACAAGAUUAGGUUGUGUCUUAAAUCAAUCUCCUGAGAUAUAAAAGAGACAAGCAAGCAGAGGGACAUGGGGACCUCAUACCACCAAGAAACAAGAGUCAGGAGAGUAGCUGGUCCUUUAGGCUGGGGAUCCCUGUGCUGAGAUGCACUUUGAUCAGGGAAGAUUGAUAACAAGGACCUUCCCCUAGAGCCGACAGAGAGCCUUCCCCUGGAGCUGGCACCCUGAAAUUGGACUUCUAGCCUCCUAGACUGUGAGAGAAUAAAUUUCUCUUUGUUAAAGCCAUCCAUUUGCGGUAUUUCUAUUAUAGCAGCACUGGAAUAACUAAGACAUAGUUGAUUUUCCCAAUUUAAAGGAAAGUGUAUUUGCUGAGAUCUUUCUUUUUCAAAUAUAUUGUGCAGAAUAAUAAGUUCUAUAUUUUUAAAAUAAAUUAUAUAUAAUGUUACCAGGAGGAAAUACAAGUGAAAACUUAUAUAAACUUGAGAUGGGUAAAUCCUUCUAAACAAGAUGCCAAGCAUUAAAAACAAAGGAAAAGAUUGAUAAAUUUGAUUGUUUUUAUAAAAAAGGUAAAAACGUUGAACAGCAAAAAAGUGUAACUAUAAAAAAACCACCAUAAAUAAGACUUGAAAACAAAUGACAAUCUGAAAAACACAUUUCCAACAUGUAUUAAGGAUUAAUAUUCUCACCAUUUAAAGAUAUAUUAAAUGACUACCACCAUUAAAAAACAAAAAAAAACCCUUCAACCCAAAACAGAAAAACCAGGCAAUAAUCAUAAAUAACUCACAAAUAUAAAUGGCCAGCACACUAUUAAAAAAAAAAAAAAGUUUAAUUACAUUAUGAAACAACUACAAUGGAAAAUGAUUUUUUGCUUAUCAAGAAUAGCAAAGAUGGAAAACAGUCACAAUAGUUGCAAAGUGUGGGGAAACUUGAACUCCUAUGUCCCAUUGGUAGAAGUGUAAAUGGGAAACUACUUAAAAUUUCAACAGUAAGAUGAUUAAGGGAAUUAUAGUCUAUGCCAACAGUGGUAUGAUGUUAUCAUCAAAAUGGUGGAGUACCUCUGACAAGCAAAGAUAUUUGUGAUGUACUGUUGAAUGUGCAGGUUGAAAGACAGCAUAUAUGGUAUGAUGCCAUUUAUGUAAAAUUAUGUUUGCACUGAUUGAGAAGUAUCUUUAUCAAAUAGUAACAGUGGUUAUCUAUGCACAGCAGAAUUUGGGUUUUUUUUUUUUUUUUGAGUAAGUAGGUAUUUACAGGUUUUCCUAUAAUGAACACAUACUUCUUUUUGUAACUGUCCCAAAUAGAGAUUUUUAAAAAGCUCACUGACUUGACUGUCAGCUAAAAAUUCAAAUACCAGAAACCAUUAGCAUGGCUUGAGUUCUCACUUUGCCAGACAAGGGAAAGCACUGUCUAGUAUUUAUGAAAAUAUUAUAAAGCUAAGAUUGUGGUCAACUCUAAUACUGUUUGUUGUUGCUGGGUAGUGUUGAGUUGGUUCUGAUAAUAGCAACCUUAUGUACACCAGAAUGAAACGUUGCCGAGUCCUACACCAUCCUCACAAUAGUUGCUAUGUUGAGCUCAUUUUUGCAGCCAAUGUGUCAGUCCAUCUCACUGAGGAUCUCCCUCUUUUCCACUGACCCUUUACUUUGCCAAGUAUGAUGUCCUUCUCUAGGAACUGGUCCCUCCUGAUUACACGUCCAAAGUAUGCAAGAUGAAGUCUCACCAUCUUUGCUUUUAUGGAUCAUUCUGGCUGUAAUUCCUCUAGGGCAGAUUUUGUCCAUUCUUCCGGCAGUCCACGGUAUAGUCAAUAUUCUUCACCAACACCGCAAUUCGAAUGCAUCAAUUCUUCUUUGGUCUUCCUUUUUUAUUGUCCAGCUUUUGCAUGCAUAUGAGGUGAUGGAAAAAACCAUGGCUUGGGUCAGGCUCACCGCAGUCAUCAAAGUAAUGCCUUUGCUUUUCAACACAUUAAAGAGGUCUUUUGAUAAAGAUUUUGCUCAAUGCAGUAAGUUAUCUGAUUUCUCGACUGCUGUUUCUAGGGACACUGAUUGCUGUCCCAAGAAAAAUGAAAACCCUGACAACUUUAAGAAUGCCCAAUUGAGGUCUUUCUUGUCAUUUGUAUUACCACUGUCAUUCAUUAUAUGCACAGAUGUAAAGCUAUGCAAAUACUUACAAAUUGGCAUUAUCUAAUUUUUAAGUCAAGCACCAUGGAAAACUUUCUACAUUUCUAAGCCAAGAACACUAUAUCAUCAACACUUUCUUCACAGAAGCAAUCUAGCAUAGCGGAAGGAGCAGGGCUUUUGAGUCGAUUAGCAGUGUACUGCUCCCAAUGGCUUUGUGUUUGUUUUGCAAUCUUGAGGAAGUUACUCAAAUUUUUUGUUUUCAUUUUCUGCAUCUACACAAGAGAUGGAGCAGUGUUUAAAAGCUUGGCUGCUAACCAAAAGGUCUGCAGUUCAAAUCCACCAGUUGCUCCUUAGAAACCCUAUGGGGCAGUCUGGAAUUGACUCAAUGGCACUGGGUUUUUUUUGUUUAUACAAGAGGUAACAGUACAUACCUCAUAUGGUUGCUGUGAUAUUUAAGGGUGAUGAAGUAAUUGCCUAGGACAAUGUCUGGCAGUUGUAGGUACAUAACAAAUGGUAGCUACUAUUGUUACACAAUUCCUAAGUGUAAGUAGUGGGCUGUGCCAGCUGAGCUUGUUGAGCUCAACUUGAGAAAGGCUGAGACCAAAUGUCAUCUCCCCCUCUCUUAAUGUUUAGGUGUUGCUGUGACAACGUAAUUUCAGACUUACAAAAAGUUGCAAGAUGAAAACAAAAACCUCAGAUACUCUUAACCUAGAUUCCCCAAACAUUAACAUUUUUCUACUUUUGCUUUACCCUCCUCUCUUUUUUUCUCAAUCAUUUAAGUUGCUGUGUGAACUUGCUGUAAAUAUUUCAGUGUUUAUUUCCUAAAAACAAAAAACUUUCUUAACAGUUAUUAAAAUCAGGAAGUUAAUAUAGAAAUAAUACUAUUACCUCAUCUAUAGAUCUUGAGGUUUUGUUCAAUGUCCUGAUGUAUUAUCCUUUAUAGCAAAAGAAUAUCCAGCAUUAUGCAUUGUACUCAGUUUCUUGUCUCUUUAGUCUCCUCUAAUUUGAAACAGUAUGAAAGCCUUUCUUUGUAUUUUAAAAGCUGACCAAUCUGAAGAGGCCAGUUAUUUUGCAGAAUGUCCCUAAUUUGGGUUUAUCUGAUGUUUCCUUAGGAUUAGAUUCAGGUUAUGCAUUUUUAAUAGGAAUAUCACAUAAGUGGUGCUAUAUAUUAUCAUAUUAAGGACACCUGUGUAUUGCUUAGUCCCAUUACUGGCAACGUUUACUCAGUAUAUUUCUUAAACCACAGCUGGAAUGAAAAGUUCUAUAAAGAGAAGGAAGUUUCUUUCCUUUCCCCUAUCUUACCUACUGCCAUAUACUUAAACAACCUGGUCAAGAAAAUCAUCCAAACUGAAUCAGACUGGAUGUAACUUAUAACCUUUCCCAGGACCUAUACAAGUCACUUUAUUAAUGUUAGGGAAACAUUUUCUCUGAAACAGCAUCAACCACCCAAAAACAAGCCUACAAAUGAUCCAAUUCUUAGAGCAGUAUCUUUAAAGGGCUGGGGAAAAAAAAAAAAAUUGACAACCCAGAAUUUUGUGCUCAACAAACUCUUUUCAAAAUGGAA